RNAcentral lists this ribosomal RNA (758 nucleotides) under uncultured bacterium. Its description in RNAcentral is "bacterial SSU rRNA". It matches the Rfam family "Bacterial small subunit ribosomal RNA", at positions 8 to 796 of the family's 1533-position model. The record is from RNAcentral.
AGAGUUUGAUCCUGGCUCAGAAUCAACGCUGGCGGCGUGCCUAACACAUGCAAGUCGAACGAGAAAGUGGAGCAAUCCAUGAGUAAAAGUGGCGCACGGGUGAGUAACACGUGACUAACCUACCCUUGAGUGGGGGGAUAACCUGGGGAAACCUUGGCUAAUACCGCAUAACACCUACGGGUCAAAGGAGCAAUUCGCUUAAGGAGGGGGUCGCGGCAGAUUAGUUAGUUGGCGGGGUAAUGGCCCACCAAGACAGUGAUCUGUAUCCGGCCUGAGAGGGCGCACGGACACACUGGAACUGAAACACGGUCCAGACUCCUACGGGAGGCAGCAGUGGGGAAUUUUGCGCAAUGGGGGAAACCCUGACGCAGCAACGCCGCGUGGAGGAUGAAGUCCCUUGGGACGUAAACUCCUUUCGACCGGGACGAUUAUGACGGUACCGGAAGAAGAAGCCCCGGCUAACUUCGUGCCAGCAGCCGCGGUAAUACGAGGGGGGCGAGCGUUGUUCGGAAUUAUUGGGCGUAAAGGGUGCGUAGGCGGUUCGGUAAGUUUUGUGUGAAAUCUUCGGGCUCAACUCGAAGCCUGCACAAAAUACUGCCGGGCUUGAGUGUGGGAGAGGUGAGUGGAAUUUCCGGUGUAGCGGUGAAAUGCGUAGAUAUCGGAAGGAACACCUGUGGCGAAAGCGGCUCACUGGACCACAACUGACGCUGAUGCACGAAAGCUAGGGGAGCAAACAGGAUUAGAUACCCUAGUAGUCC